This 460-nucleotide ribosomal RNA is filed under the name uncultured bacterium. Its description in RNAcentral is "partial 16S ribosomal RNA". It matches the Rfam family "Bacterial small subunit ribosomal RNA", at positions 338 to 795 of the family's 1533-position model. The record is from RNAcentral.
CCUACGGGAGGCAGCAGUGAGGAAUAUUGGUCAAUGGACGAGAGUCUGAACCAGCCAAGUAGCGUGAAGGAUGACUGCCCUAUGGGUUGUAAACUUCUUUUAUAAAGGAAUAAAACGAGGCACGUGUGCCUUUUUGCAUGUCCUUUAUGAAUAAGGAUCUGCUAACUCCGUGCCAGCAGCCGCGGUAAUACGGAGGAUCCGAGCGUUAUCCGGAUUUAUUGGGUUUAAAGGGAGCGUAGAUGGGUUGUUAAGUCAGUUGUGAAAGUUUGCGGCGCAACCGUAAAAUUGCAAUUGAUACUGGCAGUCUUGAGUACAGUUGAGGUAGGCGGAAUUCGUGGUGUAGCGGUGAAAUGCUUAGAUAUCACGAAGAACCCCGAUUGCGAAGGCAGCUUACUAAACUGUAACUGACGUUGAGGCUCGAAAGCGUGGGGAGCAAACAGGAUUAGAUACCCCGGUAGUC